GCCAGGCUUGGUGGCGCAUGUCUGUAAUCUCAGCUACUUGGGAGGCUGAGGCAGAAGAAUCGCUUGAGCCCGGGAGGUGGUGGUUGCAGUGAGCCAAGAUCAUGCCACUGCAAUCCAGCCUGGGCAACAGAGCGAGACUCUGUCUCAA
This 148-nucleotide signal recognition particle RNA is filed under the name Pongo abelii (Sumatran orangutan). Its description in RNAcentral is "Metazoan signal recognition particle RNA (ENSPPYG00000034078.1)". It matches the Rfam family "Metazoan signal recognition particle RNA". From Rfam's summary of the family: The signal recognition particle (SRP) is a universally conserved ribonucleoprotein. It is involved in the co-translational targeting of proteins to membranes. The record is from Rfam by way of RNAcentral. Lineage: Eukaryota; Metazoa; Chordata; Mammalia; Primates; Hominidae.